RNAcentral lists this ribosomal RNA (446 nucleotides) under uncultured bacterium. Its description in RNAcentral is "partial 16S ribosomal RNA". It matches the Rfam family "Bacterial small subunit ribosomal RNA", at positions 338 to 795 of the family's 1533-position model. The record is from RNAcentral.
CCUACGGGGGGCUGCAGUCGAGAAUCAUUCACAAUGGGGGAAACCCUGAUGGUGCGACGCCGCGUGGGGGAAUGAAGGUCUUCGGAUUGUAAACUCCUGUCAUGUGGGAGCAAAUUAAAAAGAUAGUACCACAAGAGGAAGAGACGGCUAACUCUGUGCCAGCAGCCGCGGUAAUACAGAGGUCUCAAGCGUUGUUCGGAAUCACUGGGCGUAAAGGGUGCGUAGGCUGUUGCGUAAGUCGUGUGUGAAAGGCGCGGGCUCAACCCGCGGACGGCACAUGAUACUGCGAGGCUGGAGUGAGGGAGGGGGAACCGGAAUUCUCGGUGUAGCAGUGAAAUGCGUAGAUAUCGAGAGGAACACUCGUGGCGAAGGCGGGUUCCUGGACAUUAACUGACGCUGAGGCACGAAGGCCAGGGGAGCGAAAGGGAUUAGAUACCCCUGUAGUC